GAUGAACGCUGGCGGCGUGCCUAAUACAUGCAAGUAGAACGCUGAAGGAGGAGCUUGCUCUUCUGGAUGAGUUGCGAACGGGUGAGUAACGCGUAGGUAACCUGCCUGGUAGCGGGGGAUAACUAUUGGAAACGAUAGCUAAUACCGCAUGACAACAGUUAUUGCAUGAUAACUGUUUAAAAGGGGCAACUGCUCCACUACCAGAUGGACCUGCGUUGUAUUAGCUAGUUGGUGAGGUAACGGCUCACCAAGGCGACGAUACAUAGCCGACCUGAGAGGGUGAUCGGCCACACUGGGACUGAGACACGGCCCAGACUCCUACGGGAGGCAGCAGUAGGGAAUCUUCGGCAAUGGACGGAAGUCUGACCGAGCAACGCCGCGGGAGUGAAGAAGGUUGUCGGAUCGUAAAGCUCGGUUGUAAGAGAAGAACGAGUGUGAGAGUGGAAAGUUCACACUGUGACGGUAUCUUACCAGAAAGGGACGGCUAACUACGUG
This 495-nucleotide ribosomal RNA is filed under the name uncultured bacterium. RNAcentral describes it as "partial 16S ribosomal RNA". It matches the Rfam family "Bacterial small subunit ribosomal RNA", at positions 28 to 507 of the family's 1533-position model. The record is from RNAcentral.